GACGAACGCUGGCGGCGUGCUUAACACAUGCAAGUCGAACGGAAAGGCCCUGCUUUUGUGGGGUGCUCGAGUGGCGAACGGGUGAGUAACACGUGAGUAUCCUGCCCUUGACUUUGGGAUAAAUUCAGGAAACUGGGGCUAAUACCGGAUAGGAGCUACUGCUGCAUGGUGGGGGUUGGAAAGUUUCGGCGGUUGGGGAUGGACUCGCGGCUUAUCCGCUUGUUGGUGGGGUAGUGGAUUACCAAGCCUGUGACGGGUAGCCGGCCUGAGAGGGUGACCGGGCACAAUGGGCCUGAGAGACGGAGCAGACUGCUACGGGAGGCAGCAGUGGGGAGUAUUGCACAACGGGCCGAAGCCUGAUGCAGCAACGCCGCGUGCGGGAUGACGUCCUUCGGGUGGUAAACCGCUGUCGCAGGUGACGUAGCGUGAGUGACGGUAAUGGGUAAAAAAGCACCGGCUAACUACGUG
This 468-nucleotide ribosomal RNA is filed under the name uncultured bacterium. Its description in RNAcentral is "partial 16S ribosomal RNA". It matches the Rfam family "Bacterial small subunit ribosomal RNA", at positions 28 to 507 of the family's 1533-position model. The record is from RNAcentral.